Molecule: ribosomal RNA, 526 nt
Filed under: uncultured bacterium
Lineage: Bacteria
Description: bacterial SSU rRNA
Rfam family: Bacterial small subunit ribosomal RNA
Source: RNAcentral
AAUAGAUACCCGGGUAGUCCACGCCGUAAACGAUGAGUGCUAAGUGUUAGAGGGUUUCCGCCCUUUAGUGCUGCAGCUAACGCAUUAAGCACUCCGCCUGGGGAGUACGGUCGCAAGACUGAAACUCAAAGGAAUUGACGGGGGCCCGCACAAGCGGUGGAGCAUGUGGUUUAAUUCGAAGCAACGCGAAGAACCUUACCAGGUCUUGACAUCCUCUGACAACUCUAGAGAUAGAGCGUUCCCCUUCGGGGGACAGAGUGACAGGUGGUGCAUGGUUGUCGUCAGCUCGUGUCGUGAGAUGUUGGGUUAAGUCCCGCAACGAGCGCAACCCUUGAUCUUAGUUGCCAGCAUUUAGUUGGGCACUCUAAGGUGACUGCCGGUGACAAACCGGAGGAAGGUGGGGAUGACGUCAAAUCAUCAUGCCCCUUAUGACCUGGGCUACACACGUGCUACAAUGGAUGGUACAAAGGGCUGCAAGACCGCGAGGUCAAGCCAAUCCCAUAAAACCAUUCUCAGUUCGGAUUGU